GUGAGGAAUAUUGCACAAUGGGCGCAAGCCUGAUGCAGCAACGCCGCGUGCGGGACGAAGGCCUUCGGGUCGUAAACCGCUUUUCUGGGGAAAGAGCAAGGACGGUACCUCAGGAAUAAGUCUCGGCUAACUACGUGCCAGCAGCCGCGGUAAAACGUAGGAGGCGAGCGUUAUCCGGAUUUACUGGGCGUAAAGCGCACGCAGGCGGCUCUGUGAGUCGGACGUGAAAGCUCCCGGCUUAACCGGGAGAGGCCGUUCGAUACUGCGGGGCUUGAGGUAGGGAGAGGAAUGCGGAAUUCCCGGUGUAGUGGUGGAAUGCGUAGAUAUCGGGAGGAACACCUGUGGCGAAAGCGGCAUUCUGGCCCUCACCUGACGCUGAGGUGCGAAAGCGUGGGUAGCAAACAGG
Molecule: ribosomal RNA, 406 nt
Filed under: uncultured bacterium
Lineage: Bacteria
Description: bacterial SSU rRNA
Rfam family: Bacterial small subunit ribosomal RNA
Source: RNAcentral